GUUUUAUUCUGUUCGUCUUCUUUGCAGUUUUCUCGCGCUCGCUCUCGCUCUCGCUCUCGCUCUCGCUGCUGAUUCAUCCAUUCGAUCACUUGAGUUUUCCACCAUCGGUUUAGGCGGAGUUUGUUCGGGGAAUUCCAUGGAUCUCAAUUUCCAGUGUGUAUCGAGCAAAAUGAUUGGGUUUGUUUAGGAACACAUAGUAUGGGAGCUAUUCGCAAGCUCAGUUCCCACCUUGUCUUACAAGGCAUACAAAUCCUAUCUUGGGAAUGAAUGGAAGAAACCGUUUGCUGGAUCAUCCAAUGCCAUGGGGUUUGAACCUGAGAAGAUAGGUAUUUAAGCUAAACUGCUGAACUCCGCCAUCCAUAAAAUGGCCUGGCGUUCAGCUCUGCAAGAAUGGCAAGAAUAUUGCUGCUUUUGUCCCUGGUGAUGGGCGAUGGCUGUGUAAGCUUUUCGGAAGAAAAUGAAGAAGGAAGAGUCGGGGAACUGGCAGAAAGCGUAUACGGCAUGGAAUAGUCAGGCCUUCAGAAUUUGGCCCUACUUUAGAACGGGCCGAUGGAGUUUAAGAAAUAAAUCAGAAUGAGACAAUUUGAAUUGGGCCGACAUUACGCAUUCACAGCACGUGAGCUACUCAGCUCUCAGCCGACAGCGCGUCUGUCAAAUGGGCCUAUUGCUAAUGGGCCGUCAUCAGCUUAAACUUUUUUGACCUACAUCAAUUGAGCUUUGGGCACAUGUGUUUGUCGGUGCUUCAGUUGAACAUAGAAAAUGUUGGGCUUCUUUGAUUGGGCCGGCUAUAAAUGGGCUUGUCCGCAA
Long non-coding RNA from Andrographis paniculata, 807 nucleotides. RefSeq lists it as uncharacterized. The transcript has 5 exons. The record is from RefSeq and is a predicted model, not a curated record. Lineage: Eukaryota; Viridiplantae; Streptophyta; Magnoliopsida; Lamiales; Acanthaceae.